RNAcentral lists this ribosomal RNA (305 nucleotides) under uncultured bacterium. Its description in RNAcentral is "bacterial SSU rRNA". It matches the Rfam family "Bacterial small subunit ribosomal RNA", at positions 335 to 656 of the family's 1533-position model. The record is from RNAcentral.
GACCUACGGGACGCAGCAGUAGGGAAUAUUGCUCAAUGGGGGAAACCCUGAAGCAGCAACGCCGCGUGAGGGAAGACGGUCUUCGGAUUGUAAACCUCUUUCAGCAGGGAAGACAAAAGGACGGUACCUGCAGAAGAAGCCACGGCUAACUACGUGCCAGCAGCCGCGGUAAUACGUAGGUGGCAAGCGUUAUCCGGAAUUACUGGGUGUAAAGGGUGUGUAGGCGGGGCUGCAAGUCAGAUGUGAAAAUUAUGGGCUCAACCCAUAAACUGCGUCUGAAACUGUAGCUCUUGAGAGUGGGAGAG